RNAcentral lists this ribosomal RNA (455 nucleotides) under uncultured bacterium. RNAcentral's name for it is "bacterial SSU rRNA". It matches the Rfam family "Bacterial small subunit ribosomal RNA", at positions 8 to 463 of the family's 1533-position model. The record is from RNAcentral.
AGAGUUUGAUUCUGGCUCAGAUUGAACGCUGGCGGCAUGCUUUACACAUGCAAGUCGAACGGCAGCACGGGUGCUUGCACCUGGUGGCGAGUGGCGAACGGGUGAGUAAUGCACCGGAACGUACCCAGUAAUGGGGGAUAACACAUCGAAAGAUGUGCUAAUACCGCAUACGCCCUGAGGGGGAAAGCGGGGGAUCGUAAGACCUCGCGUUAUUGGAGCGGCCGAUGCCGGAUUAGCUAGUUGGUGAGGUAAGAGCUCACCAAGGCGACGAUCCGUAGCUGGUCUGAGAGGACGACCAGCCACACUGGGACUGAGACACGGCCCAGACUCCUACGGGAGGCAGCAGUGGGGAAUUUUGGACAAUGGGCGCAAGCCUGAUCCAGCCAUGCCGCGUGAGUGAAGAAGGCCUUCGGGUUGUAAAGCUCUUUCGCAAGGAAAGAAAACUUAUCUACUAA